UAGCACUGGGCUCCACGUGAGGGACUCUUCUUGGUCUACGCUGAAGCCUCGCUAUCAGGGCUUACCAUCUCCAGCUGCAGGACAUCAAGGGCUCCUGACAUUGUGAAUGUUUCCCUUUAAGUUACCACGGGAAUCCAGAACACCAUAUGGACCCCUUUGUGGAUACCGCGGAAAAGCGAAGCAAGAAGGCUACCAGAUGCAGAUCCAGCCCCUUGAUCUUGGACUUCGCAGCCUCUAGAACCAUGAGCCAAAU
Molecule: long non-coding RNA, 253 nt
Filed under: Callithrix jacchus (white-tufted-ear marmoset)
Lineage: Eukaryota; Metazoa; Chordata; Mammalia; Primates; Cebidae
Description: lncRNA (ENSCJAG00000082704.1)
Source: RNAcentral